Molecule: long non-coding RNA, 3245 nt
Filed under: Homo sapiens (human)
Lineage: Eukaryota; Metazoa; Chordata; Mammalia; Primates; Hominidae
Description: non-protein coding lnc-PAQR5-1:4
Source: RNAcentral
AGCCAAUUCAAUAUUUGGAGUUGUGUUUUAUCUUCCAAAGGCCUCAGUAAACAUUUGUAGAACUGACCAGUGUUGGAUUGGGCAUGGUGUCUCUUCACAGCCAUGGGCAGAGGGACCAUAAACGUAGGGGGCAGGGAUGGGCAGCGGUCAGAGGGAGCCAUGGAAGCUUCAGAGGGAGCACAACUCUGCAAUGCCCCGACUUGGGACUUCUGGCCUCCAGGACUGAGAGUAAAUAGUUGUCGUUUGAAGGUGCUGUGCAUGAUAAUUUGUCACGGCAACACUGGGAAACCACUGGCAACAUGGACCCCUUAUCUGGAUACAGUGGCAGAAAAGAAAGCUCUGCAAGAAGUUCCCGUAAAGCAUGUCCUUGCCCUUAGUGCCCAUUUCCUCCUCUGUCAAAUGAGGCAAAUACUUCCAGCCCUGAUGAGAUAAUGGCCUCAUCAGCAGGGCAACUCUGACGGUGUGGGUGAGGCUGUUCUAGGUUUCGCGCUGCCAGGCAGCGCCUCUCUCCUAGCCUCCGUUUUCUCAUCUGCCAAGUGGGGCAGUAAGCCCUGCCCUGGUGACUCCAUUGCCAAGGAGAGGGGAGGCGUGAGCGGACUUAUGGAUUGGGGUAGAGUUGGGUGCCAGGGGGCUGAGAACACAUGUGAGGGACCUGAAUCUUGCCAUAUUAACUAAGGGCGAUGGUUUCUGUAGUACCGUUUCUGCUAUCCAACAAGGCCUUGUAAACAAAUAUAACGUCUGGGCCCACCCAGGAGGAGCUGGUGAGUGCCUGAGGAGUAGAUGGCCAGUGGGGAUGGGUGAAGAACACAUAGAAUAGUGACAUCUGAUAUGGCGCCCCUUGAACACACAGGCAAAGGAAGAGAUGGGGCAUUUUGAGUCACAUGGAUUGGGGUAGGACUGUUUCCCCCCAAAAAGGCUUUUUGAGUUAUGUUGUAAAGAUGUCAGAGGGAGACUCACAUUUAAGACUGAAGCUCUCCUUCCUUCACACCCUUGCCAGGACUCCCUCUGACCACCCCAAUCCCUGCCCCCCUCCGUUUGUGGUCCCUCUGCCCAUUGCCAUGAGGAGAGUGUCCAAUCCAAUAUCAGUCAGUUCCACAAAUGUUUACUGAGCCCUUUGGAAAAUAAAACACAACUCCAAAUAUUAAAUUUACUUAGCACUCUGCAGUUUACAGAGCACUUCCAAAUGCAUUCUGUGGUCACUACAAUAACCCUGAAAGGAAAAAAAGAUGAUUAUCUCUCACUCCACAAAAAAGAAACUGAGGGUCAGAGAAGAGAGACAACUUGCUCAAGGCCAUUUGAUUGGAGGUUGCCUGACUCCUGGAGCUGCUCUUCCCCGUCUCCUUGCUGCCUUGCUGUCAUGUCACCUGCUGUCUCACUGGGUCAUUUGGGCGUGUGCCCCUCGCACGCCUGUAUCUUCCCAACUGGUGUCAGCUCGAAACCCUCUGUGGUCUGCAGUGCUCAGCCUGGCUUUCCAGGUCUGGGCAGCUCCCUCCUUCCAGAUCCUGCCUGUGAUUCCAGCUCCUUUCCCUUGCUGUACAAAGUUCCCACCUCUGCACUUUGCCUCACUCUUUCUUCCUGCCCACUGGUACGUAUCCCAGUCCUUCCCACACUUCAGGUCUCCCUCGGCUGCACAGGAGGCUCAAAUCCAGCAUAGAUUCCUGAAGUCCUGGGUCCAAGUUCUAGCUCUGCUACUGACUUCUUGUGACUGUGUGACCUUGGGCAGGUCACUUUCCCUCUCUGGGCCUCCAUUUCAUCACUAUGAAAUAGGAGUGUUGAACACAAUACUCUAAAUGCAUCUCCAUGUGGUCUAAGUACCCCCCUCCCCGGCCCCUCCCUGCCCUUCCCCCUCCUCUGAUCAUCCUGUGUGCUCACCAUCCACAAUCCCCUCUCCUGGCUCCACAUCAUUCUCCAAAGGGUUCAUGUUCAAUCAUUCAGUUAGACUUUAAACUCCCUAAGAGCAGAGGAGGGUGAUUUUGGCCAAGAUAUGCAGAUCGAUUCAUCAGUAAUCCACUGACCACCUCCAUUUAGGUUGGGAGCCUCUUUAUCUUCCCUCUUUAGUUUCUUCAAGGUGCACACACAGAUACCUACAGCAGGCAGGAAUCCAGGUGGGGCACCAGGCAUCUCUGCUCACCUUGGCUGCUGGUGGUGGGGUGCCUGCCUGUGCUGUGCAUGCUGCAGCUUUGGCAGGGUGGCCAAUCAGUCCAGUGCCAGCCUUUGCCUCCCAGAGAAUGCUUCACACCCUAUUCUUCCCCCAAACCCAUCACUGGCCCAGACAUCAAAAGCACACAUCCCUGUGCUAUUCCCCUUCAAAGAGCUUCAUAUCUAAUAUCUCACUGAGUCCCCCGACUAGCCUUGGAAAGGCAAAGCAGGGAUUAUUAAUCUCCAUUUUGUAGAUGGUGAGGGUCUUGUCCAAGGCUACUCUGAAUUCAGCAUAGAGCUGGGACUGGGCUCCACUCUUGUGUCCAGUCAUUCUUGUCAAACUCUGGUCUGUGGAAUAUACAUGCCUGCCUCUGUGUAGGCCCCAGUCUCUUUCCCUUUAAGAACUUGGGUCUGAGAGGACAAGCGCAUGUCGCACGCACACACACACGCACAUGCAUACACACCCUUACAAGAUGCACAGCCACCAAAAAGCCUAAUAAAGCAAGGUGCCCAAGACCACGGUUCAGGAUCCGUAAAAAUGGCCGGAGAUAAUUGACUGCAACCUAUUCACUGCAAAUGGGGCAACUUGGGCCCACAAAGGGCCAGAGACUUGACCCGAGUCACAGAGUAGACUAGAGCCCAGGUCUCUGGACUCCCAGUCCUGUGCUCUCUCCACUGUGUGUGCCCUCAGCAAACAAGCUGUGUCCACUGAGUGGCAGAGGUCCAGGCCCAGCGCCUUCCAGUCUAGGAGCCUGUGACCUGGGACAGGAUCCCUGGGGAAAGGGUGAGGGCUGGCAAAGGGCCCGCCACCCUGAGCACUCCAAGAGACAGGGGUGGAACUCACUUCAAGGAUUCAGGGCGGCGAGGAUCCUCUCCCACCGGCGAAGCGGACACCGCGGUGGGGCUGCGAGUACCCAGUUGUUGUUUUUUUCUCCUUCCCUGUUCUCCACCCCAUGCACUUUUCCGAGGGGCAAGCUCCGCAGUUCUCCCAUCAAGGAGGCUCUCCAGGCUCCCUGCCGGCCUUCGGCUCCUGGGGUGGAGGUGGGCGUGGGGUACAUGGGCCCUAGGAGAAUGGGGUGUGAGAGACUCCCCUGGGCUUAUGGCUU